This 447-nucleotide ribosomal RNA is filed under the name uncultured bacterium. RNAcentral describes it as "partial 16S ribosomal RNA". It matches the Rfam family "Bacterial small subunit ribosomal RNA", at positions 29 to 523 of the family's 1533-position model. The record is from RNAcentral.
AACGAACGCUGGCGGCAGGCUUAACACAUGCAAGUCGAACGCCCCGCAAGGGGAGUGGCAGACGGGUGAGUAACGCGUGGGAAUGUGCCCCAAGGUACGGAACAACAGCGGGAAACUGCUGCUAAUACCGUAUGUGACCGAGAGGUGAAAGAUUUAUCGCCUUGGGAUCAGCCCGCGUUAGAUUAGGUAGUUGGCGGGGUAAUGGCCCACCAAGCCUACGAUCUAUAGCUGGUCUGAGAGGAUGAUCAGCCACACUGGGACUGAGACACGGCCCAGACUCCUACGGGAGGCAGCAGUGGGGAAUCUUGGACAAUGGGCGCAAGCCUGAUCCAGCCAUGCCGCGUGAAUGAUGAAGGCCUUAGGGUUGUAAAGUUCUUUCGUCGGGGACGAUAAUGACGGUACCCGAAGAAGAAGCCCCGGCUAACUUCGUGCCAGCAGCCGCCGUAA